GCAUUAAAAAAUAUAUACAUAAUAUAUAUAAAAUACCAAAAAAAAGAAGGGGGAAAAAAGAGAGAAGGGAAGGGGGAAAGGAAAUCCGGCCAAGGGGGCCAGUCACCGAUCGAUCGUCGGUCGUCGCCCGUCGCCGGCCACCGCCUGCGGUGGUCGAAAAAGGUAAAUUUUUUUUAACAAUAUAUGUAUAUAUAAAGAAAGAAAAAAAACAACACAAAAAAAGAAAAAAAAGAUUCGAAAGAAGAGAAAAAAGAAAAAGAUGCAAUCUUUUUAUUGAUGUUUCUUUUGUGUUCAAAAUUUGAAGGGAUUUUUGCGUUUUUUUUCAAUCUCUGUAAAAAAUCCCCCCCUCCUUACAUGAUUUUUGAAUGGCUUUUUAUAAUCAUCUUUUACAUGAUUUUCUAUUAUUUCUUUUUCUAUUUUGUAAGUGAUGGUGGUAGACAAUGGAUAUCAAAAAUGAGAGGAAAAAUGGGGCAAGUGGGAAAGUGGCUAGGUGGCUAGGGUUUUUUGGUUUUUUUUGGUUAAGUUUUUUUUUUUUUUUUUUUUUUUGGGUUAAGUUUUUUUUAGGGGGACUUAAUGGGCUUUUGAAUUGGGUUUAAUAUUUGGGUUUUGUAAUGGGUUUGGGUAGAUGUAUAUGGGUCAUGGGUUAAGAGUUUUAGUGGGUUUAGAGGUUUGGUUGGGUUUUGAUAUAAUCGAGCCCAGGCAAUUUGAGCUUCUACAAGGAUGAUCGAGAAGCGACGUGGAACAAACCCUCUUCAAUACCGCCUAGUCCAGUCAACCGAGGAAGACGACCCAUAGGACAUUUCUGAUGAUAUCCCUCUACGACACGAGGACCCACCGUCUCAGCCACUACCCAUCCAUUGUUCAGUUCAUGCGGCGGCUUCAUACUCUGACAUCUCAAAUUGGAUUGCUAAGUUCCAGAGGUGAAAGUCCAACAUCUACUACAUUCCUUUUCAGAUCAUUAUCCUCUUUUAAUUAACAUAAGAAUGAUUGAAGAACGACUGCAGAAUAAUACUUUCAAAAUUAAAGCUUGGUGGUUAUUGGAAUAUUUUUUCUUAAACCAAGCUAAAAUUUUGUGGGAGAAUUCAACUGUGGAGUUGCUGCAAAAGCUGGAAAUUUUAAAAAAAGGACUGAAACAAUAGGCUGGGCAAAUUCAAGUUAAUAGGAAGAAAAGAAAACAGUUCCUAAUGGAAAAAUUAUAUGAAUUAUCUGAAGCUGAACGAGAUGACAGAAAUUUAGCUGAGCUGAUUGGUACAAAAAUUGAUUUAAAUUUUGAGAUUGAAAAGGAUGAAUGCUAUUGGGAAUAGAGGGCUAGGCUGAAAUGGUUAAAAUUUAACGAUAAAAACACAACAUUUUUUCACAAUCAAGCAAUGCAACGCUGGAGGACAAAUUUUAUUCUUAAGUUGCAAAAUGAAGACGGAAGAGAAAUAUAGUGCUUAUUCCAAAAAUUACCGGCCCUUUAAAUAUGACACAGUUUAGGCCGAUUAGCCUAUGCAAUGUGCUUUAUAAAAUUCUGGCAAAGGUUAUAGCAAAUAGAUUUCGGGGAGUAAUUGAAAAAUACAUUGAUGGAGCGCAGAGGGCCUUUGUACCAUGACGAUUAAUAUCAGAUAAUGUGUUGUUAGCCUAUGAAAUACUGCAUAUACUUAAACAAAAGAAAUUGGGAAAGAAAGGGUUUAUGGCAGUAAAACUCAAUAUGAGUAAAUAGAGUCGAAUGGAAUUUUUUAAAGGAGAUAAUGGUACGAAUGGGUUUGCUAAAAAAUAGGUAGCUGCUCUCAUGAAAUGUGUAACUGUCUCUUAUUCAGUGGUCAUCAAUGGGCAUAUUGGAGAACAUUUUCUACUAACUAGAGGACUUUGACAAGGUGAUCCUUUAAGUCCGUUCUUAUUUCUUUUAUGUGGGGAGGGUCUAUCGAGCUUAAUGAGACUAACAAUGAAUGGAGGCUUUUUCAAAGGCGUCAAGAUAAGUGCCCUACAGGUAUCCCACCUUUUAUUUACUGAUGAUUGCAUUUUAUUUGGGGAGGCAACAGGCAGGGGAGCUAAUUUGUUUAAGGACAUCUUACGUGAGUACAGAUCUUACUCAGGUUAAUGUGUAAAUUUUGAUAAAUCAAUAGUAUUUUUUAGCAAAAACACAUCGGAGGAGGAUAGACGGUUGAUUGUCAAUUUAUUGGAGGUCCACAGUUCAAAUGAGACAGAGCAUUAUCUAGGGCUGCCGAAUAUGGUUGGUCGAAUAAAGAAGGAAUCUUUCCAAAAUUUAAAGGACUAAAUCAAAAAGUGUAGUAAUAACUGGAGUAAUAGAUUUUUAUCUCAAGAAGGAAAAGAAGUUUUUAUCAAAGCCAUUCUUCAGGCUAUACCAACUUACACGAUGGCUUGUUUCUUAUUAGCCAAAGCUCUAUGCGAUGAGCUCGAAAGUAUCGUUGCAAAGGUCUGGUGGCAGAAGGGAGAUGGAAAAAGAGGAAUUCAUUGGUACACUUGGAAAAAUCUUUAUUUUUUUAAAAGAAAAUGGUGGUUUAGGUUUUCAAAAUUUUAGCCAAUUUAAUAUUGCAUUGUUAGCCAAACAAGGUUGGCGUCUAAUUAACUAUCCAAAUUCUUUAUUGGCCAGAGUUUUAAAAGAAAAAUACUAUCCACAAUCAAGUUUUAUAAAUACAGAGUUGGGAAAUUUACCUUCACUCACCUAGAAGAGUAUUUGGGCAGCUAAGGGCCCCUCCAAAAUGGGUUGUGCUGAAAAGUGGGUAGAGGGGAUAAAAUUUCAAUUUGGAAUGAUAGUUGGAUUCAGGGGAUCGAGAAACUUGAAGGGCAAAACAGAUCAAACAAUGAGGAGUUAAAAUUAGUUUCGGAUCUUAUUAAUAUUUCGAACAGAAAAUGAAGGACAGUUUUGAUUAAUAAUACCUUUCAAGUGGAUAUUGCUCAGAAAAUCACACAAACCCUCUUGCAGAGACAGACCACAAAUAUUUUCAAGUCUGGAAAAAAGAACUGUCUGGCGAAUACAAGCCAAAAUCAAAGAUUUUUACAGAAAACUUUGGACCCUACAGCUACCCUCAAAAAUCGCAAUCACUAUUUGGCAAAUUUCCUGAGAUUUCAUUCCUAAUCUAGCUAAUCUCAGGUACAAAAGAGUUCUUUCAAACGAUAGAUGUCCCCAAUACUGCUCCUAGGCUAAAGACAGUCUCCACAUCUUUCGUUAAUGCCCUAUAUCAACAAUCAAAAUUUGGCAAAUUUUACAUCUUUCUUGGGUCAUUAAUAAUAUGAGUCAAAAUAUAUGGGAGUGGUUAACUUGGGUUUUCAAGAAAGGUAUUGAUGAACAAUGUCAACUUUUUUUGUUAUGCUAGUGGUUAAUCUAGCUUUCCAAGAAUCAGUUUAUUCAUAAGAUGAAAAGCACGACAGGAAAAGAUCUAGCACAAAGAGUAUAGAGGUAUAUGGAGGAAUAUGAAGGAGUGAGAGCAAUGAAGAUUCCUUUAAAUACCGUCAAAAGCCACAGAAAUCAGGAAGACAUACCUAGAAUGAUGAUUCAGUUUGAUGCAGCAUUUGAUAAUAGAAACUUCAAGUCAGCAACGGGUCUGGUGGUUUGGGGCUUGAUGGGUAAACUACUGGUCUCAAAGUCGACUCUUCACAACAACAUUUGCUCCUCAUUUGUAGUAGAAGCAUAUGCAUGUUUUGAAUCCAUAAAUUUAAGGACCUCAUUGGGUAUGCAAUCAGUUAAAAUCAUGGGGGAUUCCAGAACAAUAAUCAAAAAGUGUCAAACGACAUCAACAGAUGAAUCAGUGAUCGGAGCGAUUAUCAGAGAUAUUCAGAAUAUGAAAACUUGUUUUCAAGAAAUUAACUUUCAGCAUAUUCACAGAUUAGGAAAAUUUAAAGCUCAUAGAAUCGCAAAGAACACGCUUGAAAGAGGAGAGAUUACGUACCUGUUGAGAGAAUGGUUGAAUAGCCAAGCUUUCAUUUCGAAGGGGCGAUGGUCACGAUGCCCAGACUGAAGGAACACUUUGAGAAAAAUGAGUUCAAAAUUAGAUAGCAAAUAAUGUUUAUAUCCUUUGGAAAUCGCUAUCAUCAGAACGGAUGGGAUUUUGAAAUGAAAAGACGAGCAACUUAAUGGAAUCCAGCCGUUUGAGUUGACUGGGUUAGAUAAGUAGGUUUCCUAUUUUUUUCAGUCUCAUUUAUUGCUUUUCGUUUUCU
Molecule: long non-coding RNA, 4158 nt
Filed under: Gossypium barbadense (sea-island cotton)
Lineage: Eukaryota; Viridiplantae; Streptophyta; Magnoliopsida; Malvales; Malvaceae
Description: long non-coding RNA (GBAR_LNC004804)
Source: RNAcentral